Lates calcarifer (barramundi perch) is the source of this 1206-nucleotide long non-coding RNA. RefSeq lists it as uncharacterized. The transcript is spliced from 4 exons. The record is from RefSeq and is a predicted model, not a curated record. Lineage: Eukaryota; Metazoa; Chordata; Actinopteri; Centropomidae.
AUAAAAAAAUGUCAUAGUAUAGUAAGGUGUCGAAAAUGGUCAAAAAAUGUCAUAGUAUAGUAAGGGGUCAAAAAUGGUCAAAAAAUGUCAUAGUAUAGUAUGGUGUCGAAAAUGGUCAAAAAAUGUCAUAGUAUAGUAAGGGGUCAAAAAUGGUCAAAAAAUGUCAUAGUAUAGUAAGGGGUCAAAAAUGGUCAAAAAAUGUCAUAGUAUAGUAUGGUGUCGAAAAUGGUCAAAAAAUGUCAUAGUAUAGUAAGGGUCAAAAAUGGUCAAAAAAUGUCAUAGUAUAGUAUGAUGUCAAAAACCAUCAAAAAAUGUUAUAGUAUAGUAUGGCAUCAAAAAUGGUCAAAAAAUGUCAUAGUAUAGUAUGGUGUCGAAAAUGGUCAAAAAAUGUCAUAGUAUAGUAAGGGGUCAAAAAUGGUCAAAAAAUGUCAUAGUAUAGUAUGGUGUCGAAAAUGGUCAAAAAAUGUCAUAGUAUAGUAAGGGGUCAAAAAUGGUCAAAAAAUGUCAUAGUAUAUUAAGGCGUCAAAAAUGUCAUAAAAAUGUCAUAGUAUAGUAUGGUGUCGAAAAUGGUCAAAAAAUGUCAUAGUAUAGUAUGGUGUCAAAAAUGGUCAAAAAAUGUCAUAGUAUAGUAUGGUGUCGAAAAUGGUCAAAAAAUGUCAUAGUAUAGUAUGGUGUCGAAAAUGGUCAAAAAAUGUCAUAGUAUAGUAUGGGGUCAAAAAUGGUCAAAAAAUAUGAUAGUAUAGUAUGGUGUCGAAAAUGGUCAAAAAAUGUCAUAGUAUAGUAUGGUGUCGAAAAUGGUCAAAAAAUGUCAUAGUAUAGUAUGGGUCAAAAAUGGUCAAAAAAUAUGAUAGUAUAGUAUGGUGUCGAAAAUGGUCAAAAAAUGUCAUAGUAUAGUAUGGUGUCAAAAAUGGUCAAAAAAUGUCAUAGUAUAGUAUGGGGUCAAAAAUGGUCAAAAAAUGUCAUAGUAUAGUAAGGGGUCAAAAAUGGUCAAAAAAUGUCAUAGUAUAGUAAGGUGUCAAAAAUGUCAUAAAAAUGUCAUAGUAUAGUAAGGUGUCAAAAAUGUCAUAAAAAUGUCAUAAAAAUGUCAUAGUAUAGAAAGGUGUCAAAAAUGUCAUAAAAUACCAUAAUAUAGUAAAGUGUUGAAAACCAUAAAAAAAGGUCAUAGUAUAGUAAGGCGUCAAAAAUGGUCAAAAAAUGUCAUAAUAG